GCCGAAGUGGUGGAACUGGUAGACACGCUAGACUUAGGAUCUAGUGCCGCGAGGCGUGGAGGUUCAAGUCCUCUCUUCGGUACCA
RNAcentral lists this transfer RNA (85 nucleotides) under Desulfobacter hydrogenophilus. RNAcentral's name for it is "tRNA-Leu". It matches the Rfam family "tRNA". Rfam says of the family: Transfer RNA (tRNA) molecules are approximately 80 nucleotides in length. Their secondary structure includes four short double-helical elements and three loops (D, anti-codon, and T loops). Lineage: Bacteria; Pseudomonadati; Thermodesulfobacteriota; Desulfobacteria; Desulfobacterales; Desulfobacteraceae. RNAcentral also lists the same sequence under 5 other names. The record is from RNAcentral.